GACGAACGCUGGCGGCGCGCCUAACACAUGCAGGUCGAACGAGCGAGAGAGAGCUUGCUUUCUCGAGCGAGUGGCGAACGGGUGAGUAACGCGUGAGGAACCUGCCUCAAAGAGGGGGACAACAGUUGGAAACGACUGCUAAUACCGCAUAAGCCCACGGUGCCGCAUGGCACAGAGGGAAAAGGAGCAAUCCGCUUUGAGAUGGCCUCGCGUCCGAUUAGCUAGUUGGUGAGGUAAUGGCCCACCAAGGCGACGAUCGGUAGCCGGACUGAGAGGUUGAACGGCCACAUUGGGACUGAGACACGGCCCAGACUCCUACGGGAGGCAGCAGUGGGGAAUAUUGCACAAUGGGGGAAACCCUGACGCAGCGACGCCGCGUGGAGGAAGAAGGUCUUCGGAUUGUAAACUCCUGUUGUUGGGGAAGAUAAUGACGGUACCCAACAAGGAAGUGACGGCUAACUACGUA
Molecule: ribosomal RNA, 466 nt
Filed under: uncultured bacterium
Lineage: Bacteria
Description: partial 16S ribosomal RNA
Rfam family: Bacterial small subunit ribosomal RNA
Source: RNAcentral